RNAcentral lists this unclassified non-coding RNA (157 nucleotides) under uncultured Clavulinopsis. RNAcentral's name for it is "sequence contains ITS1". The record is from RNAcentral. Lineage: Eukaryota; Fungi; Basidiomycota; Agaricomycetes; Agaricales; Clavariaceae.
UUGAAAUAUAGGCUGUUGCUGGUCUCUCAGGAGGCAUGUGCACUCCGCCUUUCAAUUCACCUGUGAACUUACUGUAGGCCCUAGUGGUCUAUGUUUUUAAACACACCCAAUAGUCUAUAGAAUGUCUAAUAGUAGGCCUUAUGGUCGAAACUUAAUA